GACAGAGGUGCCAAACGUUAUUCGGAUUCACUGGGCUUAAAGCGUGCGUAGGCGGUCUUGUUAGUCAGGGGUGAAAGCCCUCAGCCUAACUGAGGAAUUGCGCUUGAUACUGCAUGACUAGAGAAUGAUAGAGGUGGGUGGAACUGAUGGUGGAGCGGUGAAAUGCGUUGAUAUCAUCAGGAACACCAGUGGCGAAGGCGACCCACUGGGUCAUUUCUGACGCUGAGGUACGAAAGCUAGGGUAGCGAACGGG
This 253-nucleotide ribosomal RNA is filed under the name uncultured bacterium. RNAcentral describes it as "partial 16S ribosomal RNA". It matches the Rfam family "Bacterial small subunit ribosomal RNA", at positions 524 to 776 of the family's 1533-position model. The record is from RNAcentral.